AAGCUGUCGCUAAAAAGGGGGAUGGACCUGCGAUGCAUUAGCUAGUUGGUAAGGUAACGGCUUACCAAGGCGAUGAUGCAUAGCCCGAGUUGAGAGACUGAUCGGCCACAUUGGGACUGAGACACGGCCCAAACUCCUACGGGAGGCAGCAGUAGGGAAUCUUCCACAAUGGACGCAAGUCUGAUGGAGCAACGCCGCGUGAGUGAAGAAGGUUUUCGGAUCGUAAAGCUCUGUUGUUGGUGAAGAAGGAUAGAGGUAGUAACUGGCCUUUAUUUGACGGUAAUCAACCAGAAAGUCACGGCUAACUACGUGCCAGCAGCCGCGGUAAU
RNAcentral lists this ribosomal RNA (329 nucleotides) under uncultured Lactobacillus sp. Its description in RNAcentral is "bacterial SSU rRNA". It matches the Rfam family "Bacterial small subunit ribosomal RNA", at positions 202 to 524 of the family's 1533-position model. Lineage: Bacteria; Bacillati; Bacillota; Bacilli; Lactobacillales; Lactobacillaceae. The record is from RNAcentral.